AGUGAACGCUGGCGGCAGGCCUAACACAUGCAAGUCGAGCGGCAGCGCGGGGGCAACCCUGGCGGCGAGCGGCGGACGGGUGAGGAAUUCGUCGGAAUCUGCCUUUUUGUGGGGGAUAACGUAGGGAAACUUACGCUAAUACCGCAUACGUCCUACGGGAGAAAGUGGGGGACCGCAAGGCCUCACGCAGAAAGAUGAUCCGACGACCGAUUAGCUAGUUGGUGGGGUAAAGGCCCACCAAGGCGACGAUCGGUAGCUGGUCUGAGAGGAUGAUCAGCCACACUGGGACUGAGACACGGCCCAGACUCCUACGGGAGGCAGCAGUGGGGAAUAUUGGACAAUGGGCGCAAGCCUGAUCCAGCCAUGCCGCGUGUGUGAAGAAGGCCUUCGGGUUGUAAAGCACUUUUGUCCGGAAAGAAAUCCCUGGAGCUAAUACCUUCGGGGGAUGACGGUACCGGAAGAAUAAGCACCGGCUAACUUCGUG
This 484-nucleotide ribosomal RNA is filed under the name uncultured bacterium. Its description in RNAcentral is "partial 16S ribosomal RNA". It matches the Rfam family "Bacterial small subunit ribosomal RNA", at positions 29 to 507 of the family's 1533-position model. The record is from RNAcentral.